GAUGAACGCUGGCGGCGUGCCUAAUACAUGCAAGUCGAGCGAACAGAUGAGGAGCUUGCUCCUCUGACGUUAGCGGCGGACGGGUGAGUAACACGUGGAUAACCUACCUAUCAGACUGGGAUAACUUCGGGAAACCGGAGCUAAUACCGGAUAAUAUAUUGAACCGCAUGGUUCAAUAGUGAAAGACGGUUUUGCUGUCACUUAUAGAUGGAUCCGCGCCGUAUUAGCUAGUUGGUAAGGUAACGGCUUACCAAGGCAACGAUGCGUAGCCGACCUGAGAGGGUGAUCGGCCACACUGGAACUUAGACACGGUCCAGACUCCUACGGGAGGCAGCAGUAGGGAAUCUUCCGCAAUGGGCGAAAGCUUGACGGAGCGACGCCGCGUGAGUGAUGAAGGUCUUCGGAUCGUAAAACUCUGUUAGGAGGGAAGAACAAAUGUGUAAGGAACUAUGCACGUCUUGACGGUACCUAAUCAGAAAGCCACGGCUAACUACGUG
This 497-nucleotide ribosomal RNA is filed under the name uncultured bacterium. RNAcentral's name for it is "partial 16S ribosomal RNA". It matches the Rfam family "Bacterial small subunit ribosomal RNA", at positions 28 to 507 of the family's 1533-position model. The record is from RNAcentral.